GCUGAGGUUGGAGGGGACCUUAAAGAUCACCUACUUCCAACCCCACUGCCUUCGGUGGGGUUGCCAACCCCACUUGGGUGAAAAAUGUGGGGUUCAGCUGUGGAUCCCGCAGCAACCCCCAAGGACACCUGGACAGGAGCCCAGAUAAAAGCCAAGGACUCCAGGCCAGCACUGACUCAGGACAGUCUCCGCUGUUGGCUGUGCUAGGACCCAUCUUUCAUAAAGAGUUUGGAGUGGAGCCUGCUGAGAUAGAGCUUCCAGCCUUUGGGCACUGUGUGGCCCUUGCAGAGGAGAGCUUGGGCCGCAAAGAUUGGUGAUCAAGGGAGAUAGAUAGGAUGGAUGGAAGGAACCCAUUGGACUGUGGUUGGUUGCUCAAGGAGGAAAGUGGCUGCGGAGCCAUGGAGCGUCAAGCGUGAGAUCUGUGAUGUUCUGCCUUCAGCUAUCUCUACUUCCUCAUCACAGAGCAGGCAGCUUUUGGUUUGUGUUUUUUCUUUUUCUUUUCCUUUUUUUUUUUCCUAUGCUAUAUUUGCACACAAUUAUAGCAAGAUGCAAAUUAAGACCUCUCCAACCCCAUUUGUCAUUCUUUCUACCUGAUGAACUUCAUGUCAUUAAAAUGAGGACGAGGUGCCCAGAACCUGCCAAUUUCCACUGCAGAUCAGUUGUCAGAAAGCAAAAGCUUCUGUUCCUUUUCUUCAGACGGAUAAGUGAAAUGUGCAAGAGACCAUAAAUGAAGCUGAAAUAAUGGAAGAUCACUCAAAAAUUCUCCACGCUUUGGAAAGACUUAUACUCACAUUUGUAACGCUGAAGAAAGGAGAAUGCUAUGUAAGAAACAGGUUGCAGAAUAAGGACUUCUAUGUCUUAGUCCUAUCACUGCUCUAAACUUCCUGAAAAAAGAGCCCUUACUGACUGGUCUCUUUCCAGUGAAAUGAAAUUCCU
Gallus gallus (chicken) is the source of this 936-nucleotide long non-coding RNA. RefSeq lists it as uncharacterized. The transcript has 3 exons. The record is from RefSeq and is a predicted model, not a curated record. Lineage: Eukaryota; Metazoa; Chordata; Aves; Galliformes; Phasianidae.